ACCAUCGAGGACCUGCGGGACAAGAUUUGUGGUGCCACCAUUGAGAGUUCCAAGAUUGUCCCGCAGAUCAACAAU
Non-coding RNA from Otolemur garnettii (small-eared galago), 75 nucleotides. Lineage: Eukaryota; Metazoa; Chordata; Mammalia; Primates; Galagidae. The record is from Rfam.